Non-coding RNA from Drosophila melanogaster (fruit fly), 300 nucleotides. Lineage: Eukaryota; Metazoa; Arthropoda; Insecta; Diptera; Drosophilidae. The record is from Ensembl.
GAAAUUGGCACCCAUCAGACGUGUCAAAGUGACAAUUUUUUAUUUACACUUCCCCCCUCCUCGACGACCGUGAUGAAUGACAAAAACAACAAUGGCAAAAAGCUCUCAUGACUCUGGUCACAUUUGCGUGCGAGAGCGACGUGAGAUGCAUGUAAAAAUUCGUAGGGGGUUGCAAAAGUGUGGCCAUGGCACAGGUAAAAAUGCUUUGACAUUUGUCUUUAUUACACAGAAAAUAAUUCAUUGUGUAUAAGUUUUAUAUACUAUAAAUCCGAACAUAUAAAUAAAAUGUACGCUCUACUG